This 451-nucleotide long non-coding RNA is filed under the name Homo sapiens (human). Its description in RNAcentral is "non-protein coding lnc-NEU4-1:1". The record is from RNAcentral. Lineage: Eukaryota; Metazoa; Chordata; Mammalia; Primates; Hominidae.
AGGCCUCUCUGGGGUUCUGGAAGCCGUGGAGCCCACUGCAGCUCUGCAUGGCCCAUUCUUCGUCAUUCUCUUCUAUACUGGGACGCAGGGAGGAGCCAUGUGAAGGUGGAGGCAGAGGCUGCAGUGAUGCCGCCACCAGCCACGGGGGCUGCUCAGAGCUGGAAGAGGCUGAAGGACCCUGCGCUGGAGCCUUCAGAGAGGGUGCGGGCCUGUCACCCUUGGCUUCAGACGGCCUCCAGAGCCGCGAGAGGACGCAUUUGCAUUGCUUCAGCCGCCAGUCGGUGAGAUUUGUUGCGGCAGCCUGGGAAGCAGCACACCUUCCUGCCUUUGCCGUCUGUCCGUCCGUCCGUCUGUCCACAUGGGCCUCAGACCCCGGGGGAUCCUGGCCGUCACUGCCCGGCCAUGUGCAGCCUCGGCCUGUGUCAGACAGACUUGGGCUCGAGGUCCCCAG